UGUCAGUCUGGAGCAGAUCUGUGCCCCUUGUCAGACGCCGUUGAAGCCACGGACCGAGUCGGGGAUGGCACUCUUGUUGUUUGUGCUUCAGAAACUGAGGAAGGGGCCAGUCUCUUCUUACCCUCAGCCCUAUCAGAGGAUGUUUUGCUCUUGCUGGGGUGAGAGGAGUGAGGGUCAGUAGACAACCUCACCGAGCGUGAGGAAUUCUCUGGAGGAAGAAAGAGAAAAGGGAAACUAACAACGAUGAGAGGAAAACAGGAAAGCUACUAUCUAAAGAGCAACUUGGGCUCUGCUAAGUGUUCGAUUCCAGACCGCAGGCAGGAGAGAAGGAACUGAGGCUGGUCGGACCGCACAGCGCUAUAUAUACGACCUGCGCACAGGGCGGGGGAGGGGAGGUGCGCAUGCGAGGUCCCACGGGCACUGCUGUUGAGAUCUCCAACUCAAGAAGCAAAGCCGCUGCCGCACCUACAGUGCAGCACCCCUGGGAACAUCACUCGAAGAAGAACCUAGGGGAACAGUGAGUAGGCCAAGACCCCCAGACUCAUAGUGGAAACAGUGACUAUUUUGAUGUCCUUAUUCUGUAAAAAUAGGGUACCUUCCUGCCCACUGUCAAGGAGUCUCAAGUUUCUAAACACCGUGGUUUCAUGCAUUUUAUCCAUACAUGUGUUAAUGAAUCGCCCUUGAUGGUCCUCCAAAGCUUGUAACACUAGGGAAUAUCUCUUUCUGCCAAUGAACCUGUUUGCAUUUCUUUUGGACAGAUUAUGCUCACAUAGGUACCAUCUAUGGCUUCUGCGCAGUUUGGGAAUCCCAGCUGCUGAAACCUCCUAGGAUAUGUGUGUUCUGUGAUUAGAUUUCGCCAACCCUGUAACAAAUAUGAACUUCUGAAGUACUAUAGUUGACUUGUCAUGAAGUCACAGUCUCCUUGGUCCCCUGUCUUGCCAACCUGGUCAACUCAGCUUGUCAUCAAUGGUUGCUUUACUCCAAAAAAUCACAAAAUACUCAAGUUGCUCCAGUCCCUAGGGACCAGUCACUUAUCUCAGGGCAAGUCAUACCUUAGACCUCACACCAAAGACAACACUGGCAGCCCAUUCUACAGUAAACUAACUACAGAUUUAAUAACUAAAAAAAGAAAUGGGGCAAGCAGGCAUAUACACACAGAUGAGCUACCGGCUAUGUUUUAAGAUUAGCAAAGUUGUAGAGAUUUGUUAAUUCAAAAUGCCCUUCAGGGCAAACCCAGAGAUAACUCUAGGGGUGUCUACUUCAGUCUUAAUAUCUCUGGCCCUGUCAGAGUCCAAAAAGCAAAGAGACACCUUGAUUUUUCUGUUUGAGGCAUUUUAUACCUUCGCUCCUCAGAAAUCAAGCUUAUAGCAACAGUUCACAGGCAGGUCUCUUCUUUCUGGUGGGGGAGGGGAAGGAGGAAUGCACUUUAAAGUCUUUGAUCCCACACAAUGGCCCAUUCGUUGCAUUAUACAAGGCCUUUUCCUUGUCUGAUGAGUUACAUAGUCACAGAGGUUUCCGUUGCAAAUGUUUGCUAAGGCUUUAUGACAUGGGGUAGAUAUAGCUGAGUGAGAACAAUCCAUGCAACAUCCUACUAGCUUUUCAGGUAGUAUAAACACUGAACACAUUCAUACAAUCUUCAGAUCUAUUUUUACAAUACUAACACGCAUGAUAGCUGGACUGGUUUCCAGCAAUGAAUUUGUCAGUGCUCGGGUGAUGCUUUCAGCCUUAGGAUGAACUGGCAUUUGGUCUACCAGCAUCACACCACAAUCUUAGCCAAACAGAGAGCUGGUGUAUCUUUAUGGAAUUUUGGAAUUAAAAAAGAAAGUGGAGAUAUUCCAGCCACAGAUGAAGAGCUCUCUCAAUUCCUUGAAAAGGAAAGUGUACCAAGCCACAUUGCUGCUGUAGGAGACUCACGGCAACACUAAAGACUGUUUCAACUAAUUGUAGUACAUAGGAAUAGAGUAAUACCCCUUUAAGUAGCUUGUGAGCUGUCUAGUGGUGAUCAGUGUUCUGUUCUAGAAGCCAUCAAAAACUAGUCAGAGGAGCAGUGUGUAUUAAACUAGGCCUUGUAUGUCUGUAUAUAGUUAAUAAACAUGGUUCUUUGGGA
Long non-coding RNA from Chelonia mydas (Green sea turtle), 2107 nucleotides. RefSeq lists it as uncharacterized. The record is from RefSeq and is a predicted model, not a curated record. The transcript has 2 exons. NCBI's taxonomy places the organism in Eukaryota, Metazoa, Chordata, Testudines, Cheloniidae.